GUGCUUGCUUCAGCAGCACGUAUACUAAAAUUGGAACGAUACAGAGAAGAUUAGCAUGG
Fukomys damarensis (Damara mole-rat) is the source of this 59-nucleotide small nuclear RNA. NCBI's taxonomy places the organism in Eukaryota, Metazoa, Chordata, Mammalia, Rodentia, Bathyergidae. The record is from Ensembl.